RNAcentral lists this ribosomal RNA (397 nucleotides) under uncultured bacterium. RNAcentral's name for it is "partial 16S ribosomal RNA". It matches the Rfam family "Bacterial small subunit ribosomal RNA", at positions 523 to 918 of the family's 1533-position model. The record is from RNAcentral.
AUACGUAGGGGGCGAGCGUUGUCCGGAAUGAUUGGGCGUAAAGGGCGCGUAGGCGGCCCGGUAAGUCUGGAGUGAAAGUCCUGUUUUUAAGAUGGGAAUUGCUUUGGAUACUGUCGGGCUUGAGUGCAGGAGAGGUAAGUGGAAUUCCCAGUGUAGCGGUGAAAUGCGUAGAGAUUGGGAGGAACACCAGUGGCGAAGACGACUUACUGGACUGUAACUGACGCUGAGGCGCGAAAGUGUGGGGAGCAAACAGGAUUAGAUACCCUGGUAGUCCACACUGUAAACGAUGAAUGCUAGUUGUAGGGGGUAUCGACCCCUUCUGUGCCGCAGUCAACACAAUAAGCAUUCCGCCUGGGGAGUACGGCCGCAAGGUUGAAACUCAAAUGAAUUGACGGGG